GCAGCUGUCUGCUAGAGGCUGUGAACGGGAGCAUACACCUGUGAACGAGGAAGCGCUCCCUGCCCCGGGGCUGGGGGGUAGGGGAGACAGCAGGAGGGCUGCACCUCCAAGCUGCAGCUGCCAGCCUGCACCACAACCACAGCAACACAGGAUCCGAGCCACAUCUGUGACCUACACCACAACUCACAGCAACGCUGGAUCCUUAACACAGAGGAAGGCCAGGGGUCAAACCCGCAUCCUCAUGGAUCCUGGUUGGACUCCUGCUCCACAACAGGAAACCCCUGAGUCCUAGUUCUUAGUGUCUGGGCCUGGAGGCAGAGUGGACCAUGCGUGAAGACAAGGCCGUUUGCUCGUGUUGGAUGAAGCCCUGCUCAAGCCACACGAUGUGAUACCGACUUCCCCCUCUCGCUUGGGCAGCUCUGUAUUGCGGUCCUCAGAUCCCUGACUGAUACCUUGAUUGCUGCGUGGUGAGGGGCAGAGGGACCCAGCGAAGCCAUGUCUGGAUUUCCGACCUACAGAAACUGUGAGAUAAUAAGUGCUUGUUGUUUUAAACUGCUCGAUCAUGGGGUAAUUUGUUACACAGCCAUGGAGAAUACAGGGUAGAUAAGCAUGUUUGUGCAAAGCUUGCAUAUAAUUUCAAGAGGCGUUGAGAAACCUCCAAAGCCUGUUGAUGGAUAAUGUAGGGACCUCGUUGGAACCCCUGUUUUAGGAAGACAUUAAAGGGAAAGACAGUGGAGGAAGAAAUAAAAUAAGAACAGCAGAGUCCGUGGUGGAAGGGAGAUCUGGAGAGUCUGAUUAGAGACAGUUGUGUCAGGGAAGUUAAGCAAGAACCGAAUGCCCUAAUGGGAAGAACAUUCACUAACAUUUUCCAGGGGGUCAGAUUCCCGAGGAUAGCAGCUAAACUGGCGAGUGACAUUUUUCCAUCAUGAUAUAAAAUUGGCGGGAUAUGUAACCCAAAGAAGCAGAGACCACUGUUCUGCGCUGAGGUGUGUGGGAAGAAAGGUUCAACCCAGCCUGGUUAGGUUGGAAAAGUGUUGGCUAGUGACCGAGGAUCCUGGUAUCUGGGGCCUGAAGAAAAUGUGCAAAUUGUGGCAAGGGCUCUAAGUUACCAAAGGUUUUAUAAUGGCCCACGAAACUUGGAAGUUGGGGGAUUGAGUUGGCCUCAGGCCUGGCUGGCUCCAAGGACUCCGAUGGUGCCAUCAUGUCGCUCUAUGUAUCUUUUUGGUUGACCUUCAAAUGGCCAAGGGUUGGGCGUGGGGUAGGCAGUUCUGCAGAGAGAGCUCCAGGCGUUCUUAUCCGCAAAGAGUGGCCCUCAGAGAAAAAGACCGUCUUCUCUCAGUGUCCAUGUGAAAUCUCGGGAGGGAGUGUGAUGGUUGUGCCUGGAAAGCCAUUAUCUCCCAGGUACCCCGGCACUGCGUGGAGGGGUGGGAGGAUAAUUACCUAAAGGAAAAGGGGGUGCUCUUGUCAGAAAAGAAGAAACACCGUGGGGCAGAUAAUGUGACAUAUGUCUACCGGAGUGAGUGACAAUAACCAGAGGCUGGAGGAUUGUUUAAUAUUUAAAGUUAUGCCGACAUAACGCAAUAACCUGAGACUUAACGCAGCUGUGUGGUGUUUGUGUCUCAGCAGUCCCUCAUUAUAGGAAAUUUGGGUUGUGUAUUUGAAUUGACUUGGAAUGAUGGCGUCUAAUGAAUAGAGUUCUGGCAGGGGUGGCCCUGGAGAAGGGGUUUGGGGGAUGAAACCAUGAAUUCAGAGGCUCAGAAUCUUAAGGAAAAAUGCAGUCCUUUCUCCUUCUUGUGUGUCAGCAUCUGUUGUUUUUCUCCUAGAACACAAAGUGCCUGCAGAGCCCAUACCCAUUUGAAUAAAGACUGAACAACCACUGCAGCAAAGGCUUAGCUGCCAGAUGCUCUGCAUGUGACUUGGUUGAAUUUCUACCACUUUCCUAAGUCCCUGGAUGAGGCCUUGUUUCAUCCGGGGACUCCCACUAUUUUUGAAAUGAAGAAUUUGAUUCCAAAUGGCAGAGAUUUAAUUUUUAAACUCAUAGAAAGAGACGAUGCCAACUAUUCAAUUUAGAUCUUCUUAGAUCGUAAAUAAGGACUUGUGAUUGACUGAGUCAUUUAACUUUUUAAAAAAUAGGGUUUUUUUUUUUUUAAAGUUCAUUUUUUUUAAAAAAAAAAGUUCCUCUGAGACCAACAGUAAUGUAGAAAUUGGCAGGAGAGAUCUCUCUGGUGGGCCAUUUCUCCCCCAUCCCACCCCCACCCCAGUUUUGUCACAGUGUGAUUUGGUCGGACAUGAGAAAAUGCUAAAUGAUAGGUUAAAUGAUCCAUAUGUGGCAAGGUAACGCAUUCCUAACUUCUGUAAAGUUUUUCAAAUUGUAACUGCCACUGUCACGACAUGUGGAUAAUAUCAGUAUUAGUUGUCAAUUAAAAAAAUUACAUGGUACUGAAUUUGCUUACUUUAAGACAUGAAAAUAGGAGUUCCCAUUGUGGCUCAGUAGUAACGAACCCGACCGGUAUCCAUGAGGACUAGGGUUCAAUCCCUGGCCUCGCUCAGUGGGUUAAGGAUCCGGUGUUGCUGUGAGCUGUGGUGUAGCCCGGCAGCCGCAGCUCCAGUUGACCCCUAGCAGGUGUGGUGGCCCUAAAGGGCAAAACCAAACCAAACAAAAAGAAAUGAAAAUAUAAUUGUUAAUCAGAAAGACAUGCUCUUGGCUGUAGUCUCCUCCCCUGUGGGAAGGCCAGUCCCCUCGGCCAGUAGCUGACAUUCUACUGCAAGGGCUGUCCCCGGGGCCCUGCCUCUCGCUCGGUGGCUAAGGCACAUUCUAGAGACUCACCGUCUCUUUGCCUCUCAGCACUUAAAGCUCAGUGGAAGCCCAUGGUGUAUCCUGGAUCCAAACUCGGGGGAUUGAAUUGGACUUCCCACUUGAUGUGUUUAUCUUGAGAAUCACAUCCGAUAUUAAUAUUAAUGAUAUCCCUCGUUUAAGCUUUGCCUUGUCUCCAGUAUCUAUGUACCAUAGUCUAUAAUUGUGUUUUCACCAACAGUCUUUGCAGGCUCGUAUUUUAUAGCUCGUGAAAUCAGUAUCUUGGAUUCCAUCAUACCCGUGUUCCAUGCCCGGGCUGUUUCCAUACACAGAUAUCCCCCAAAUUAUAAGUGAAAGAGGCCAGAUAAGUGAAAGAGAGGUGUUUUUUUUUUUUUUUCUUUUCUUUAUUCUUUUUAAUAGCCACACUUUUCAAGACUGGGAAAUUACAGGCAGGAUUUGCUUUGGCCCUUUUGGACUAUUUAUUUCCUCUGAUUUCUGGAAAUUACUGCCUUGGAGAUUCUGUAUCUUAUUGACUUUGGGGAAGGCAGGUAAAGAAGCAUUCCCAUGUGCCCCAAAUAGCCUCUUGGUGACUUUUCUGGCAGUUCAUUUUGGCUCAGUAAUGAUGUAUUGAAGCAAAUAUGUGCCAGCCCAGUGCCAGGCACAGGAGUUGCGGUUGCACUUCCUGCUUCCUAGACCAUGACGGUCUAUUGAACCAGAAUGAAGGGACGAGGUCAAGGGAACUAGCACCUGUUGAUUGUCAAACACAGGGAGGAAUUCCUCUCCAGCCCUCACCUGUGUCACCUCAGCCCACCUUCAGAACCACACUGACUUCUGUCCUCUGGAAGCUCAGGGACAUUAAAUAUUUGUCCAGGCCACACAACAAAUGUGUUGUGAAGUAGAAGUCGAGCAAGAUUUGAGUCCAUGCGUAUUUUUAUCCAUGCUUAUUUUUACUACUUUAUAUGCUUUCUCCCUCCAGCACUGUUCAUUUUGCCCUGUAAUUAAGUUCUAGGAAUUCCAUUUCCAUCUCACUACUUAGGUCUAAAACUGACAAUGUUAAGAACGGUUGGAAAAACAUGCUUUCUUAGAAACUAAAAACUGCUCUAUCCUUCUAUGUUGUGAAUUUCAAAUCUCAAGUGAACCUUUUGGGAGUUGAGUUCAUUUAAAGCUGACUUUCUAUUUCUGAGAAAAAAGAAUAGAAUGAUAGCACACAUGUUAUGGCUUUUUAGCAAAAUGUCUUUUUAAAGGAAAUUGUGAUGUGAUUGAAAGAUCUUGGUGGGCAAUAAAUAGGUUUUUUUUUCAAGGUACCAUUUGGAAGCAUUCAAGAGUCAGGAAUUAAGGACAGAGUUGCUGUAAAUAUUUUCAAUAUAUUCCACAAAUCUCAAAUCACAUCUGGUUUGCCCAGCAUUAUCAGCAGAACCUUUCUUUAUUCAACUCUGAUUCCUCCACUAUGAUUUUGUCAAAUUAAAGGGCUCAAUCAUAUGAUUUAGCAUUAGCAUUAGAGGAACUGUCCCUAAAUUGGGGUCGGGCAAGCCGAUCUAGUGCAAUAUUUCGACAAGUUCCUAUAAGAUACUCUUUGAUUCGAAUACGGGUUAGUUAGCAAUUUGCGUUACUAAACACAAAACUAACAUUCAUGAUUUAAACACACAGGAAUAACUGCAUGAGUACAAGUAUGUAACAUGAUGGGCCAUCGGGCCAUUUCAUGAAAAAUAUAUUAGCAAGCAUUUAGUUUUAUUUAUUGUUCAGGCCUCGGAGUGCUGGUCUGCCUCUCUGGGUCCAGCCUGCCGCUGGCACAUGGCCACAGCUGCCACAGAGUCAGUGAGAAGUGUGUCCAGGCUGCACCAUCGCGUCUGUGGUGCAUCCUUUAGAAAGAUCCUGGUGGUAAGAUGUCAGCCUCGCUUUCUAGAAGCCUCGCGCACCCAUGCAGCGGCACGGUCUCCCAGCCUCAUUCCCACAGACCUACUGCGAGGAGUUCUAUCUCUGGGUCUGAUUUCAAGGUGAACAGGUUGGAGAAUUCAAGGGAAGGCUAUAGAUUUUUUUUUGCUUCUCACGUUGGUUGAUUAGCCCAGUACGUGGUAUUUGAUUAACGUCCGCGAGCUCUAAUUAGCAGUGCCUAACAGGGUCUCCAUACCCUCAGAUAUUGAUUCCUGCCUCCAGAAAAACUAAUCUAAUUGUGCUCCUUAUCAUUAGCGAAUGGGUGGUGUACUGACAUGAUAUUUUUUAUUGGGAGGGCUCCUUCAUCAUGACCGCUUUGGAAUGGGCUGGAGGGGGACACGGAACUAAGGUGUCAGGAAAAACGUCACGUUUGAUCACCCUGAGACUGUUUUGAUCCCCAGAGGAGGGAAAGCCAUAACUAUUCCAGGAGAAAUUUUCUUUUUAACUUUCCCCAAAGAGGAAAAUGGGCAUAAGACUCAAAUGUGUCAUUUGGACCACAGCGGGUAGAAGAAAAGCAAAGACUUUGCGGGCAUCUCUUUGUUUCUGGGCCUACUUGUCUGCUGAUCUGUGCCUGCCUUCCUGCCACUCUUGAAAUGACGGCACAGGACUACAGUAAUUAAGGCACCUCCAUGGCUGCCUUUGCUGAUCCCUAGUUUUCAGGGAUCGUAAUGAAAAGACAUACCCCC
RNAcentral lists this long non-coding RNA (5412 nucleotides) under Sus scrofa (pig). RNAcentral's name for it is "lncRNA (ENSSSCG00060029701.1)". Lineage: Eukaryota; Metazoa; Chordata; Mammalia; Artiodactyla; Suidae. The record is from RNAcentral.